Molecule: non-coding RNA, 100 nt
Filed under: Francisella sp.
Lineage: Bacteria; Pseudomonadati; Pseudomonadota; Gammaproteobacteria; Thiotrichales; Francisellaceae
Description: TPP sequence
Rfam family: TPP riboswitch aptamer (THI element)
About the family: Vitamin B(1) in its active form thiamin pyrophosphate (TPP) is an essential coenzyme that is synthesised by coupling of pyrimidine and thiazole moieties in bacteria. The previously detected thiamin-regulatory element, thi box was extended, resulting in a new, highly conserved RNA secondary structure, the THI element, which is widely distributed in eubacteria and also occurs in some archaea.
Source: RNAcentral
AGAAGACAGCGGGGGAGCUUUAGCUGAGAUAGUUUUAGAACUAGACCCUUUGUACCUGAUCUAAUUAAUAUUAGCGUAGGGAGUUUGUUUGAUUUUAAAU